AGCGAACGCUGGCGGCAGGCUUAACACAUGCAAGUCGAACGGGCGCAGCAAUGCGUCAGUGGCAGACGGGUGAGCAACACGUGGGAACGUGCCUUUCGGUUCGGAACAACUGAGGGAAACUUCAGCUAAUACCGGAUACGCCCGCAAGGGGAAAGAUUUAUCGCCGAAAGAUCGGCCCGCGUCUGAUUAGCUAGUUGGUGGGGUAAUGGCCCACCAAGGCGACGAUCAGUAGCUGGUCUGAGAGGAUGAUCAGCCACACUGGGACUGAGACACGGCCCAGACUCCUACGGGAGGCAGCAGUGGGGAAUAUUGGACAAUGGGGGAAACCCUGAUCCAGCCAUGCCGCGUGAGUGAUGAAGGCCCUAGGGUUGUAAAGCUCUUUCGGUGGGGAAGAUAAUGACGGUACCCACAGAAGAAGCCCCGGCUAACUUCGUGCCAGCCGCCGCAGUAA
RNAcentral lists this ribosomal RNA (451 nucleotides) under uncultured bacterium. RNAcentral's name for it is "partial 16S ribosomal RNA". It matches the Rfam family "Bacterial small subunit ribosomal RNA", at positions 29 to 523 of the family's 1533-position model. The record is from RNAcentral.